Lutra lutra (Eurasian river otter) is the source of this 299-nucleotide long non-coding RNA. RefSeq lists it as uncharacterized. Lineage: Eukaryota; Metazoa; Chordata; Mammalia; Carnivora; Mustelidae. The record is from RefSeq and is a predicted model, not a curated record. The transcript is spliced from 3 exons.
CUUCCGCAGAGCAGGAAGAGCUCUGACCCAGGACUGAUGGAGCAUUCCCUCCAACAGAGGCAGCCAGAGCCAGGUCACCUUUGCUUCUUGGGUUUUACAUCUCUGCAUAUUUGGUUCCCUAAAAUGCAGCCGUUUAUGUGCUAUCCCUCCCAAGGCCAGCCCAAUAUGUCUCUGAUCCUGUCACGUAGCCCUUUGCUGAUCUGAGCCAUGGUGCUCCAGUAGCAUUUGAGAAAAUGGCUGCUUCAUCAGCCCAGAUCCCUGGAUGACUACCAUGAGCAGAGCCCCCUGCCAAACUGGCA